UACACACCGCCCGUCACACCAUGAAAGCCUAUUGUACCAGAAGUCACUGUGCUAACCGUAAGGGGCAGGUGCCUAAGGUAUGGUCGGUGAUUGGGGUG
RNAcentral lists this ribosomal RNA (98 nucleotides) under uncultured bacterium. Its description in RNAcentral is "partial 16S ribosomal RNA". It matches the Rfam family "Bacterial small subunit ribosomal RNA", at positions 1384 to 1482 of the family's 1533-position model. The record is from RNAcentral.